This 74-nucleotide transfer RNA is filed under the name Blumeria graminis f. sp. tritici JIW2. RNAcentral's name for it is "tRNA-Asn (GTT) (tRNA-Asn-GTT-4-1)". It matches the Rfam family "tRNA". Rfam says of the family: Transfer RNA (tRNA) molecules are approximately 80 nucleotides in length. Lineage: Eukaryota; Fungi; Ascomycota; Leotiomycetes; Helotiales; Erysiphaceae. The record is from RNAcentral.
UCCCUCGUGGCGCAAUUGGCUAGCGCGUUCGACUGUUAAUCGAGAGGUUGGUGGUUCGAGCCCACCCGCGGGAG